Molecule: long non-coding RNA, 192 nt
Organism: Oppia nitens
Lineage: Eukaryota; Metazoa; Arthropoda; Arachnida; Sarcoptiformes; Oppiidae
Exons: 3
Source: RefSeq, a predicted model, not a curated record
UGUUUGCGGCGGUUCGGGUAAUAGUGAUCGGAAAUCAUGUGAAACAUAUGACCCGAAAACAAAUCAAUGGACACAAAUUGCAUCAAUGCUUAUAGGAAGAUCUGGAUUUAAAUUGAUUGCAUUUAAUGAUAAAUUAUAUGCAUUGGGUGGACAUACAAAAGACUAUUUGCUAAUAGAAACGGUUGAAAUAUA